AGCCCGAUGGUGUAACGGUAGCACAGCAGAUUCUGGUUCUGUUUGUGAGGGUUCAAAUCCUUCUCGGGCUG
RNAcentral lists this transfer RNA (71 nucleotides) under Marispirochaeta aestuarii. It matches the Rfam family "tRNA". Rfam says of the family: Transfer RNA (tRNA) molecules are approximately 80 nucleotides in length. Their secondary structure includes four short double-helical elements and three loops (D, anti-codon, and T loops). The record is from Rfam by way of RNAcentral. Lineage: Bacteria; Pseudomonadati; Spirochaetota; Spirochaetia; Spirochaetales; Spirochaetaceae.